CCUCAGAUCCUAUUUUGGUAUUUGCUUGAUUUGUGAUUUUGGAUUAUUUUGCGGCUGUAAGCACUUUGGAUUAGCGUUUCGGUUAAUUUUCUGUCUCAACAAAUAGCAGACAAUAAGAAUGUUAUUUCUGAUGUGAUUCCAGUGAUGAAUAAGAUCACGGAACACAAACUUAAUGGUUCGAAUUACUGGGAGUGGAGUAAGAUUGUUAGGGUCUAUUUGCGUAGCAUCAAUAAGGAUGAUCACCUUACUAAAGGCCCACCUACUGAUGAUACACGGCAAACUUGGCUAAGAGAGGAUGCUCGGCUAUUUUGUAGCUUCGGAACUCGAUUCACAGUGAAAUAAUUAGUUUAAUUGAUCACUGUAAAUUUGUUAAGGAAUUGAUGGAUUACUUAGAUUUUCUGUAUUCUGGUAAAAGGAAUAUCUCCUGUAUUUAUUAUGUUUGUAAGGUAUUCUAUAGUGCUAAGAAAGAUGAUAAGUCUCUCACAGCUUAUUCUAUGGAUUUUAAACGGGUAUAUGAGGAACUUAAUGUAUUGUUGCCUUUUAGUUCUGAUGUGAAAGUUCAGCAAGCCUAAUUGACUGUUGUGAGUUUUCUUGCAAGCUUCUUUCAAAAUAUGAGACUGCUAAAUCUCAGAUUCUCUCCAGUUCUGAGAUUUUCUCUUUGCAUGAAAUGUUCACACAAGUCCUUCGUACAGAGAGUAUUCAAUCUUCACAGCCUGCCAGUAGUGCUCUUAUUAGCCGUAAUCCAAAUGGAUAACAAGGUAAUAGAAGAGGAAGUAGAGGAGGAAUUACAGGCAACAGAGAUAAGCAGCGUAAUGGGGAGGCUAGUUCUAAUCAGGACUCAAGAGCAGUCAUUUGUUAUUAUUGCCAUGAGCCGAGCCAUACAAAAUAUAAUUGUCCGCAACUUCAGAGGAAAAAUCAGCGAUCACAGAUGACAAAUAUGGCAGCAUAGGAUUCUACAGUAUCUUUCUCUGAGAAAACUGUUUUGGUAUCUGCAGAGAAUUUUGCACAGUUUUUCCAGUAUCAGGCAUCUCUAAACCCUACUAGUUCCCCUGUCACUGCGAUCGCUGAGUCAGGUAAAUCUACUACAUGCCUUGUGUCUUCCUCAUCCAAAUGGGUUAUUGAUUCUGGUGCGACAGAUCACAUGACAGGUAAUUCUAGUCUUCUAUCUGCUCUUCAGUCUGAUCUUACUUCCUCUACUGUUACUUUAGCUGAUGGUUCUACUUCUUAUAUCAUGAGUUUUGGAACUGCGAACUUGACUUCGUCAAUUUCUUUGUCAUCUGUUUUGUGUCUACCAAAAUUCUCUUUUAAUCUACUUUCUGUUAGUAAACUUACUCGUAUCUUAAGUUGUUCUGUUUUCUUUUUUCCUGACCAGUGUUUGUUUCAGGAUCUUACGACGAAUCAGAUUAUUAGUAGAGGACGUGAGUCAGGUGGUCUCUAUAUUCUGGAAAAUCAUGUACUGCAGUCGCUUGUUUGCUCCAGUAUCUUAACACCUCUUGAAGCUCAUUGUAGAUUGGGCCAUCAUUCUUUGUCUACCAUGAAGAAGUUGUGUCCUCAGUUUCAGUGUUUAUCAGUACCAGAAUGUGUGUCGUGUUAGUUUGCAAAACAUCAUUGUUUUCUUCUGUGUUUAGAGUCAAUAAACGGGCUUCAUCCCCUUUUGAGUUAGUUCAUUCUAAUGUUUGGGAUUUUUGUUCUGUUACUUUUAAAACUGAAUUUCGUUAUUUUAUUACUUUUGUUGAUGAUUACUCUCGUUUUACCUGGUUAUAUUUAAUGAACAAUCGUUCUGAGUUGUUUUCUAUCUUUUGUGCUUUUUAUAAUGAAAUCAAAAUUCAAUUUAAUAUUUUUGUGCGCAUAUUAAGAAGUGACAAUGCCAAAGAAUAUUUUUCAGCACAAUUUCAGUCUUAUACGACACAAAAUGGUAUUCUUCAUCAGUCUUCCUGUGUUGGUACCCCAUCCCAAAAUAGUGUGGCCUAAAGAAAAAAUCAGCAUCUUCUUGAGGUUACUAAAUUGGAUCCAAAGUCUCUCAAAUGUGUCUUCCUUGGGUACUCCAGGCUCCAAAAAGGACCUACUCGAUCUCCCAUUGUUCAUGUUUAUUCUAGAAGAUUGGAGAUUUCUAACUCAGAUCCUCCACCAGC
Hevea brasiliensis (rubber tree) is the source of this 2132-nucleotide long non-coding RNA. RefSeq lists it as uncharacterized. The transcript has 3 exons. The record is from RefSeq and is a predicted model, not a curated record. NCBI's taxonomy places the organism in Eukaryota, Viridiplantae, Streptophyta, Magnoliopsida, Malpighiales, Euphorbiaceae.